GGCACGCCUAACACAUGCAAGUCGAACGAAGUAGCAAUACUUAGUGGCAGACGGGUGAGUAACAUGUGGGUAUCUUCCCUAUGGCCUGGAAUAACACGAGGAAACUUGUGCUAAUACUGGAUAAGUCUUUACGGAGAAAGCUUUAUGCACCAUUGGAUGAGCCCGCACUUGAUUAGUUUGUUGGUGGGGUAAUGGCCUACCAAGACAAUGAUCAAUAGCUGAUUUGAGAGGAUGAUCAGCCACAUUGGGACUGAGACACGGCCCAAACUCCUACGGGAGGCAGCAGUGGGGAAUCUUGCACAAUGGAGGAAACUCUGAUGCAGCGAUGCCGCGUGAGUGAAGAAGGCCCUUGGGUUGUAAAGCUCUUUCGUCGGGGAAGAAAAUGACUGUACCCGAAUAAGAAGGUCCGGCUAACUUCGUGCCAGCAGCCGCGGUAAUACGAAGGGACCUAGCGUAGUUCGGAAUUACUGGGCUUAAAGAGUUCGUAGGUGGUUAAAAAAGUUGGUGGUGAAAUCCCAGAGCUUAACUCUGGAACUGCCAUCAAAACUUUUUAGCUAGAGUAUGAUAGAGGAAAGCAGAAUUUCUAGUGUAGAGGUGAAAUUCGUAGAUAUUAGAAAGAAUACCAAUUGCGAAGGCAGCUUUCUGGAUCAUUACUGACACUGAGGAACGAAAGCAUGGGUAGCGAAGAGGAUUAGAUACCCUCGUAGUCCAUGCUGUAAACGAUGUGUGUUAGACGUUGGAAAUUUAUUUUCAGUGUCGCAGCGAAAGCAAUAAACACACCGCCUGGGGAGU
RNAcentral lists this ribosomal RNA (792 nucleotides) under uncultured Pelagibacteraceae bacterium. Its description in RNAcentral is "bacterial SSU rRNA". It matches the Rfam family "Bacterial small subunit ribosomal RNA", at positions 41 to 881 of the family's 1533-position model. The record is from RNAcentral. Lineage: Bacteria; Pseudomonadati; Pseudomonadota; Alphaproteobacteria; Candidatus Pelagibacterales; Candidatus Pelagibacteraceae.